This is a non-coding RNA of Bacteroides pyogenes JCM 6292, 47 nucleotides long. The record is from Rfam. NCBI's taxonomy places the organism in Bacteria, Pseudomonadati, Bacteroidota, Bacteroidia, Bacteroidales, Bacteroidaceae.
GUUGUGAUUUACUUUCAAUUUAGUAUCUUUGAACCAUUGAGUACAGC